CUGUUGACCGCAAUAAUAAUUUUAUUAGGGGAUGAGAAUUUUACCAAGUGUCACACGUGCACCGCUUGAGCACAAGAUGCAUGUUUCCGUCUUUAGCCCUGUUGGUGGUUAUUUUUGAUAACAUGUUUAAAAAUUCGAGACUCUUUGAGAUAACUGCAUGGGCCCAUUUUAUGGUGCCCCUUCCAGACCCAAGGGUGAGGUGUAACAGUCAUCGACUGAAGUCUGAAAACAAAAGCACAGCUGCAGCAAAGAGGAAGUGCACAUUUGGAUUUUUGCAGCAUCCAACAACUGGUCCAUUCGUGACUGAGAUGGUAUUGGGCACAGUCUAAAACGCUUACCAUAAAAAAGCUCCCUGAUUGUCCGAAAACUGUGAUCGUUCAUCACCAAACAUUGUGUGUACCUCCUGUCUACUCAUGCCCACUGUUUCAUUUUAGUCAUCUGUACUGGAACAGUCAUGGCUUUCAUGCAAAAAGAUUCAGAGUUCACUCGGGCCGAAGUAGAAGAUAUUCUCCUUGAUGUGGAGAAGUAUAAAGACUGCAUAUCACACAAACCGCCCCUGGAGCCCAAGGGGGGUGAUGUGUUCCUGUAUCAAAGUUUGCAGGGAGGCAGAUGCACCACAGACUUAAAAUUUGAUCAAAAGCUGUGGAAACAGAAAGGGUCAAAUCUUCACAACAUUAAAAAAUAUGGCGGUAGGGUCCUAAAGCGAUACUACCACAUUAGAACAACUCAGUGUGACAAGGGAUCAGCAGAGUUUAGAAAGAACGUCUACUGUCUUGUGCCACAAGUGGAUUCUAAUUCGGCGACAAAUUUAUAUCUGAUUCACUACCUGGGAAAUGAAAGUGUGGAUGUGCUAAGGAAACACAGCAGAGUCGUCAUUUCUUCCAAAAAAGAGCUAUUUGCAAAUACCCUUCAUGGGGCCGAUGGGCAGGCUCCAACUAAGAUCCACCAGACCACCUUGUCUGGACCAUCCAUUGGCGGUGAGGAGCACAUGCCUGUGAGUUUCCGGGUCCAAAAUGCAGCGUAUGCUCGCAGAAGUACACAACGAAUAUCUCAUGAUGAAAUUUGCAGUAUCCAUGAACUGGCCUGCCAGCUACCUGGCUUUGUCUGGUAUAUUUCUACUUUUCCAGACCUUCUGGUUUUUGCAGGGAUGCCAGAAAUGAUGGAUUUAGCACAAGCCAACCUAGAGAAAGCAGUUGAAUUAAAAUACCCUCAAGUGUUGAGGUAUGAAACGUUUCAGAUGGGCUAUUUCUAUGUUUCAGUGCUUACCGUGAGAAAUACAUCCCUUGUGGAUGAUCCCGUGUUUCCUGUCGGGUUUAUGCUGCAUGAACGUGAAUAUAUACAGCAUCAUGAAAUGUUUCUACAUGACGUUUUGGGGAAACUUAAAUUGGGUGAAGAAAAAUUCCACAGUGUGCCCAUAUCUGUUGGCGGAGAGAAGGGAAUUGUUCAGGCCUUGAAGAAGAGGUUCCCAAAUAUUAGCUUUGUUUUUUGCGGGAACCAUGUCUUGUGUGACAUUGAAUCCUGGAUGAAAAAGGAAGGACGCAGAAGGGAUGACCAAGAGCUACUAAAAGAUCAAAUUAAGCAACUAAUUAAUUUGCGUAACAGAGAUGAGUUUGAAGCACUUUAUAGCAAAUUUGCAGAGAUGUGGUCAGAGGAAUUUAUCAAAUAUUUCAACCAGCACUUGAGGGAAAACCUAUCCAACAUCGCUGAACAAUCUGAUGAAAGUCAAACCAACAACAUCGGUGAGAGUAUGCAUAAAAUGAUUAAAUCGCAAGAUGAAUGGAAGGAACUUCCAGUUGAUGCCGUGGCACUGUCUUUGUACUACAUGCAGUCAUUCUUUUUGUCCGAGUUUCAAAGAGCGAGAUUCAGGUUGGGCAGUUACAACCUGAAGCAUGAGCUCCCCGAGGCUUUGAAAGAUAUUGAUGCUCCCUCAUUUGUCCCCUUGGAGGACAUUAUUGGGAAAGUCAAGGACCAUCUGAGCAAUGAACUGAGCCGAGAACCGAAAAACACGAAGCUAUCGAUGUUUCAGACCUCAUUAGCGAAAACUGUCGUCAAGAUGGGGCUGGUGAGUCUGACUUCGUCUGCGGGGGUGUUUGUGGUUAAAAGCCCUUGGAACGAGACUGCCCACGUAGUUCAGAACAACCCCGACGGGGCAGAAUGCUGCUGCCCCAGCACAGGCAAGUGUUGCCAUAUCUUGGCUGUGGAAAUGGCAACUGGGAUGAGUCUUCUUGUAAAAAGGUCAUACAAUCUGUCACAAAUGCACAAAAGGCAUCAAGGCAGAGUAAAAACACACACAAAAGGCCGAGUUGAGCUGGUCCUAUAAAAUUAAAUGCAAACAUUCUGUCUGGGUCCUCCAGUCAUUUGCGUUUCCAUUUGUGAAUGUUGAUUGUUGGCUGAAGUGGUCCCACAUAAAAGCGUGACCAAAAAUCAUGAGAAUGAGAGCUGUACCCUUUCACCAAAAAUUUCUUUGUAAUAUAGUUAUUGUUAUGGUAUUUAUUGUUGCACAACUGUUGGACAUUACAUUGCAUCGACAAAUUAAAUAUCUCUUUGUACCAUUUUAAUUUGAUGGUUAUUUUGCUAUUACGGCUAAGGCAUAGACGUGUACUAAAAGAAUGUCUGCCUUGUGUCCCCACAUUGUCGUGUCGUAAUAGGCCCUAACCCCAGUUUCAAAAUUUUAACUUUAAAACGUGAACAUCAAGUGGCCACUAAUGUCUAAAUUAGAGAACCACUUCAACCACCACCCAUUCAAUACUAAAUGAGUAUUUUAUGGCCAAAAUCUUUUCACCUUUGCAACUGGAUGGUGCUCAUUUUCCUGUUUUCAGCUGGCAAGAUCUUAUUUCAUAAUGACUUUGGUUGCCGUAUCACUUGACAAAGUCAAGGGGAUAAUUGCUUCUUGACCAUGACCAUGUCAAGUAGGCUUGCCAAAAAAUUCACGGCGAAAUGACCCCCCCCCCCCCCCCCCCCGCAGCGCUAAUGUGACAUUUGGCUGAACACCUUGGUUCCAAAAUUAUAGGUACAAGGUGACAUUCUAACUCAAUUAAAAAAAAAAAAAACUCUCCCUUAACCUACAGUACUUUGUAUUCACGAGUAUUAAAGCGAUUUACCAAGUGUAUUCCUUUGCAUCAGAUUAUCGAUGGCCUUCCUCUAACCUUGCUGACAGCAACUAGUCAUCUUUUCCACCAGCCAUCUUUGCAGCACAUGGGUUGAAGCUGAUGCACCUGACAAUAAUAAAAUCGGGAUAUUGGAUUCCACCAAUAAUAUCCACCAUUUCCAGACAUCCCUCACCAUAAAAUCUAAAUUCAGGAUGGUAGGCCAUUUUAUCACCUUCCCCUGAUCUUAAGUUGACAGCUAACACCCCCGUUUCCUUCUGUCAAUAUAGCAGGAUGUUGUGCAAUGCUAACGCGUUUCCAACCCAUAAAAAUAGUGCAGGGGAACAAUAUCCACUAGUUGAGGAAAAAAAAGCUUUUUUUACAUGAAGCGUUUUAGACUGUCCCCACUCUCCCUUGGAGUAAACCUUCAAAGCUUGUGCACUGAGAUGGUGUCUUCACAAAGACCAUGGCUAGUCACGUGACCACCUCCUGUCCCGACAGCCCGGUGGCCCGCGUAGCACCAACACCGCCUCUCUCUCCGGUCUGGUUCUCCAUCCACCCUUAAGGAAUUUAUGAGCUGCACUCAGCGCUUCACCUUGCGGCAGAACGCAUGA
Syngnathoides biaculeatus (alligator pipefish) is the source of this 3700-nucleotide RNA transcript. It is a transcript of the gene named phosphatidylinositol 4,5-bisphosphate 5-phosphatase A, with no coding region annotated. The transcript is spliced from 3 exons. Lineage: Eukaryota; Metazoa; Chordata; Actinopteri; Syngnathiformes; Syngnathidae. The record is from RefSeq and is a predicted model, not a curated record.